Molecule: ribosomal RNA, 804 nt
Filed under: uncultured Candidatus Brocadia sp.
Lineage: Bacteria; Pseudomonadati; Planctomycetota; Candidatus Brocadiia; Candidatus Brocadiales; Candidatus Brocadiaceae
Description: bacterial SSU rRNA
Rfam family: Bacterial small subunit ribosomal RNA
Source: RNAcentral
GGUGAGUAAUAACUGGUUAAUCUACCCUUGAGUGGGGGACAACUCCGGGAAACUGGAGCUAAUACCGCAUAAGACCACAGGGGGGCAUCCCCCAGAGGUCAAAGUCUUCGGACGCUCAAGGAGGAGACCAGUCCGUAUCAGGUAGUUGGCGGGGUAACGGCCCACCAAGCCUGCGACGCGUAGCCGGCCUGAGAGGGUGGCUGGCCACACUGGGACUGAGACACUGCCCAGACUCCUACGGGAGGCUGCAGUCGAGAAUCAUUGUCAAUGGGCGCAAGCCUGAACGUGCGACGCCGCGUGUGGGAUGAAGGCCUUCGGGUUGUAAACCACUGUCAGGAGCUAACAAUAAGCGUGUAACUCACGUGAUGAGUUAAACUCCAGAGGAAGUGACAGCUAACUACGUGCCAGCAGCUGCGGUAAUACGUAGGUCGCAAACGUUGUUCGGAUUUACUGGGCUUAAAGGGCGCGUAGGCGGCAGCGUAAGUCAAGGUUGAAAUCCGGCGGCUCACCCGUCGAAGUGGCCUCGAUACUGCGUUGCUAGAAUCAUGGAGGGGUGCGCGGAACUUGUGGUGGAGCGGUGAAAUGCUCAGAUAUCACAGGGAACACCGGAGGCGAAGGCGGCGCACUGGCCAUGUAUUGACGCUGAGGCGCGAAAGCGUGGGGAGCGAACGGGAUUAGAUACCCCGGUAGUCCACGCCGUAAACGAUGUGCACUAGGGAGAGGGAGGCACCUAGCCAUUCUCUCCCCAAGGGAAACCGAUAAGUGCACCGCCUGGGGAGUAUGCUCGCAAGGGUAAAACUCAAA